CCUAAAUACCCCGUUGUCUCUCCAAUCCUCAAGCUCUGUAUUUCCCUUCUCAACCCUCGCCACCCCACUCUCCCUCUUCUGCCCUUCUCUCUAAUUUCCCAAUCCCACCCUUCGCUUCUUCUUGCCCUUCUUCCCUUUUCUGUUUUUCCGAUCUUCUCCCUGAUUUACCCGCCAGUUUUCAAAUUCUCGUUUUCAAUUUCUGGCUUCUUCUUUGCCAAUCUACUUCAACAAUCCCUAAUUCUUUGCUUCGAUCCGUACUAUGUCCUCUUGUUCCCGUCUCUGCAUUUCACUUGUCUGAGUUUUCUUCAACACUCAGUUCUUGUUUUCUGCUUUUACUUUGUAUAAGGCCGCUUUCUGGGUUUAUGCCUAGAGUUUUUAUUUGCUGUUUUGGGCAUUUUAAUGUCAGGCAUAUGUUGAUACUGUAAACAGAUAGGUUUUGUGGGUAUCAUUUUGCAAAUUGGUGGUUUCAUCUGGGGGCUGAGUUAUCACAAUUAUUUUUGACAUAUUGGGAUUGAUUUUAUUCGAUGGCAAACCAUGACUUGAUACUGGGGCAAAGUCACAAUUUAGGGCUUAGGCAGAAUCAACAAUUGGUCUUAGGGCAUAAUCACAAUUUGGGUCUAGGCCAGAAUCAUGAUUUGGAAUUGGGACAAGCACAUGAGCAUCAUUUGGGUUUAGGACAGACACAUGAUCAUGAACUGGGUUUAGGACAUCCUCAUGACCAUGAAUUGGGUUUGGGACAGAGUGAUGACCACGAUGGAGAUGCUGGUCAUAGUUAUGGCCAUGAGAAUGAGUUAGGUAUGGAUCGCAAACCUGAAGAGGGAGAUCAUGAGUUGGCUCUUCCUCCACAUAACCAUGAGUUAGCCUUAUCGGAGAACAAUGAAUUGGUUGUUUCGGAAAACCAAGAACUUGAUCAGAACCUGGAACUAGCUGUGGACCAGAACCAGGAAAUGGGCAUGGAGCCUACUCAGGAUUUGUCCAUUGAGGACUCCCAGCUUGUUGUCCACACUCCUGUCAUUCAGGCUCGUACACUUGCUAUAGCUCCUAAUUAUGAGCUGUCAGUAGGGCAGGAAUUCCCAGAUGUCAUCAGCUGUCGUAGGGCAUUGAGGGAUACAGCCAUUGGUCUUCACUUUGAAAUGCAGACGAUAAAAUCUGACAAGACUCGAUUCACAGCUAAAUGUGCCAGUGAGGGGUGCCCCUGGCGAAUACAUGCAGCGAAGCUGCCAGGAGUUCCAACUUUCACCAUCAGGACCAUCCAUGAGACCCAUACAUGUGGUGGAAUUGCUCAUCUUGGCCAUCAGCAAGCCUCAGUUCAGUGGGUUGCAAACUCAGUAGAGCAAAGACUUAAGGAAAACCCUAAUUACAAGCCAAAGGAAAUAUUGGAAGAGAUUCAUCGAGUACAUGGUAUAACUUUGUCAUACAAGCAAGCUUGGAGAGGCAAGGAGCGAAUCAUGGCUGCCAUGCGUGGAUCCUUUGAAGAAGGCUAUCGAUUGCUUCCACAGUAUUGUGAACAGGUUAAACGGACAAAUCCUGGGAGUAUUGCAUCUGUGUAUGGCAACCCAACAGAUAACUGCUUCCAGCGCCUCUUCAUCUCAUUUCAGGCAUCAAUUUAUGGUUUUCUGAAUGCUUGUCGGCCUCUCCUUGGGUUAGAUAGGACAUUUUUGAAAAGCAAGUACCUUGGUACUUUGCUUCUUGCUACUGGCUUUGAUGGGGAUGGUGCUCUGUUUCCUUUGGCAUUUGGUGUUGUUGAUGAGGAGAAUGAUGAAAAUUGGAUGUGGUUUCUGUCUGAACUUCAUAACCUCCUGGAGAUCAAUACAGAAAACAUGCCAAGGCUUACAAUAUUGUCUGACCGGCAGAAGGGCAUUGUUGAUGGAGUGGAAGCAAAUUUUCCAACUGCUUUUCAUGGAUUUUGCAUGCGUCACUUGAGUGAAAGCUUCCGAAAAGAGUUUAACAACACCAUGCUUGUCAACCUUCUAUGGGAAGCUGCUCAUGCUCUGACCGUCAUUGAAUUUGAGGCAAAAAUUCUAGAGAUUGAGGAGAUAUCACAAGAUGCUGCAUAUUGGAUACGAAGAAUCCCCCCUCGGUUGUGGGCUACAGCUUAUUUUGAAGGGACUCGGUUUGGGCAUUUGACAGCUAAUAUAAUUGAAUCAUUGAACUGUUGGAUUUUGGAAGCCUCUGGGCUUCCAAUAAUUCAGAUGAUGGAAUGCAUUAGGAGGCAGCUAAUGACUUGGUUCAACGAACGCAGAGAGACCAGUAUGCAGUGGACAUCAAUACUUGUGCCUUCUGCUGAGAGGCGCGUUGCGGAGGCUCUUGAGCGAGCACGCACUUAUCAGGUGCUUCGAGCUAAUGAAGCUGAGUUUGAAGUUAUAUCCCAUGAAGGAACUAAUAUUGUGGACAUUAGGAACCGCUGUUGCCUUUGCCGCGGCUGGCAGCUAUAUGGUUUGCCCUGUGCACACGCUGUGGCAGCACUUCUAUCUUGCAGGCAGAAUGUGCAUCGGUUUACUGAGAGUUGUUUCACUGUAGCAACCUAUCGAAAAACAUAUUCACAAACUAUUCAUCCAAUUCCAGAUAAAAGUCUCUGGAAGGAGUUGUCUGAGGGAGAUCCAAAUGCUAACAAGGCUGUUGAGGUUGUUAUUAAUCCACCCAAAUCACUUCGUCCACCUGGUCGGCCAAGAAAAAAGCGAGUCCGAGCAGAAGACCGUGGCCGUGUGAAGCGUGUUGUGCAUUGUAGCCGUUGCAAUCAGACAGGUCACUUUAGAACAACAUGUGCAGCACCCAUCUAAUUUGUGACUUCUGAAAUUUGAUCUGUUAUUAUAUUUGGGUAUGUCCUCUCUGUGCAAAAGUAUUUUAGCUUUUUAGUAUUCUUGUAGUCUCUAGUAGUUGUUAGGUUUGCAAGUAGAAGUUAUUUAUUAUGUGAAAGUCAAAGUCACGCAAACUAAGGUUGUUGUCUAUUAUCCUGUAUGACUGAUGGCAUCAAUAAUACAAUGUUAUGGAAGGAUUGCAUUCAUAAUUGUAGUUGCAUUAUCAAGAUGGUGAUUCUCAAGUGUUUGGGAAUUUUGAUUGGCACUCGUAAUCCCCUUCCCCUCCCUUUCUUUUUAGUUCACUCAUCGGAAGUUACCGCUGCUCUG
This 3125-nucleotide unclassified non-coding RNA is filed under the name Hevea brasiliensis (rubber tree). Lineage: Eukaryota; Viridiplantae; Streptophyta; Magnoliopsida; Malpighiales; Euphorbiaceae. The record is from RNAcentral.